CUUAAGCAUAUCAAUAAGCGGAGGAAAAGAAACCAACAGGGAUUGCCCCAGUAACGGCGAGUGAAGCGGCAACAGCUCAAAUUUGAAAUCUGGCUCCCUAGGGGGUCCGAGUUGUAAUUUGCAGAGGAUGCUUUUGGCGAGGCGCCGGCCGAGUGCCCUGGAAUGGGACGCCGUAGAGGGUGAGAGCCCCGUACGGCCGGACGUCGAGCCUCUGUAAAGCUCCCUCGACGAGUCGAGUAGUUUGGGAAUGCUGCUCUAAACGGGAGGUAAACCCCUUCUAAAGCUAAAUACCGGCCAGAGACCGAUAGCGCACAAGUAGAGUGAUCGAAAGAUGAAAAGCACUUUGAAAAGAGAGUUAAACAGCACGUGAAAUUGUUGAAAGGGAAGCGCUUGUGGCCAGACUUGCGCCCGGCGGCUCAGCCGUCCCUCGUGGGCGGUGCACUCCGCCGGGCUCAGGCCAGCAUCAGCUCGCUGCUGGGGAGAAAGGCGGUGGGAACGUGGCUCUUCGGAGUGUUAUAGCCCGCCGCCAUGCCCUCCAGCGGGCUGAGGUUCGCGCCUUAGGGCAAGGAUGCUGGCGUAAUGGCCAUCAGCGACCCGUCUUGAAACACGGACCAAGGAGUCGUCCUAGCAUGCGAGUGUUCGGGUGCCAAACCCCUACGCGAAAUGAAAGUGAACGGAGGUGAGAGCUUCGGCGCAUCAUCGACCGAUCCUGAUGUUUUCGGAUGGAUUUGAGUAGGAGCAUGCUGGGCCGGACCCGAAAGAAGGUGAACUAUGCUUGGAUAGGGCAAAGCCAGAGGAAACUCUGGUGGAGGCUCGCAGCGGUUCUGACGUGCAAAUCGAUCGUCAAAUCUGAGUGGGGGCGAAAGACUAAUCGAACCUUCUAGUAGCUGGUUUCCGCCGAAGUUUCCCUCAGGAUAGCAGUGUUGAGCUUCAGUUUUAUGAGGUAAAGCGAAUGAUUAGGGACUCGGGGGCGCUAUUUAGCCUUCAUCCAUUCUCAAACUUUAAAUAUGUAAGAAGCCCUCGUUGCUUCGGUGAACGUGGGCAUUCGAAUGUAUCAGCACUAGUGGGCCAUUUUUGGUAAGCAGAACUGGCGUAUGCGGGAUGAACCGAUCGCGAGGAUAAGGUGCCAGAGUAGACGCUCAUCAGACACCACAAAAGGUGUUAUCACAUCUUGACAGCAGGACGGUGGCCAUGGAAGUCGGAAUCCGCUAAGGAUCUGUGUAACUAACUCACCUGCCGCAAUGUGAUAGCCCCUGAAAAUGGAUGGCGCUCAAGCGUCAUCUACCCAUACCUCGCCUUCAGGGUAGACACUAU
Molecule: ribosomal RNA, 1314 nt
Filed under: Corollospora maritima
Lineage: Eukaryota; Fungi; Ascomycota; Sordariomycetes; Microascales; Halosphaeriaceae
Description: eukaryotic LSU rRNA
Rfam family: Eukaryotic large subunit ribosomal RNA
Source: RNAcentral